GGAUCUGUAGUGUAACGGUAACACGCCGGACCUUUAAUCCGGGCGAUAAGAGUUCGAGUCUCUUUGGGUCCACCA
RNAcentral lists this transfer RNA (75 nucleotides) under Ruminococcaceae bacterium YAD3003. RNAcentral's name for it is "tRNA_Lys_TTT". It matches the Rfam family "tRNA". From Rfam's summary of the family: Transfer RNA (tRNA) molecules are approximately 80 nucleotides in length. Their secondary structure includes four short double-helical elements and three loops (D, anti-codon, and T loops). Further hydrogen bonds mediate the characteristic L-shaped molecular structure. tRNAs have two regions of fundamental functional importance: the anti-codon, which is responsible for specific mRNA codon recognition, and the 3' end, to which the tRNAs corresponding amino acid is attached (by aminoacyl-tRNA synthetases). tRNAs cope with the degeneracy of the genetic code in two manners: having more than one tRNA (with a specific anti-codon) for a particular amino acid; and 'wobble' base-pairing, i.e. permitting non-standard base-pairing at the 3rd anti-codon position. The record is from RNAcentral. RNAcentral also lists the same sequence under 1 other name. Lineage: Bacteria; Bacillati; Bacillota; Clostridia; Eubacteriales; Oscillospiraceae.